Gossypium hirsutum (cotton) is the source of this 123-nucleotide non-coding RNA. NCBI's taxonomy places the organism in Eukaryota, Viridiplantae, Streptophyta, Magnoliopsida, Malvales, Malvaceae. The record is from Rfam.
AAUGAGAGAAUGACAAAUCAGAUUUUUCUCUUGAUUUUUAGUUUUUUUCUCCUAAAAAAAAUUCAAAUCAAACUAAAAACACUAAAAAUCAGGAUAAAAAAUCUGAUUUAUCAUUCUCCCAUU